GGAUUUAUACAAUUCGUGGAACAUGUGCUUUAAUUCGUAAAUACACGCAAAACCUUACCCGCCUUUGAAUAAUUUUGUAUUCUAAUAAAGAAAUUUGUUAUGUUAGAAAUUACAGGUGCUGCAUGGUUGUCGUCAGCUCGUGUCUUGAGAUGUUAGGUUAAGUCCAUUAACGAGCGAAACCCUCUCUCUUUGUUGCUAAUAAGCUUUUACUUGGUUAUAUAAAUCAAGUUAGGCUUAUGUACUUAAAGAGUAUUGCCUAUGAUAUAUAGGAUGAAAGAAAGGAUGACGUCAAAUCCUCAUGGCCCUUAUAGGCGGGGCUAGACAUGUGUUACAAUGGUAACAACAAUAAGUUGCAUUAAUGAUAAUUGAAGCAAAUCUAGAAAAGUUACCUCAGUUCGGAUUGUUUUCUGUAACUCGAAAACAUGAAGUUGGAAUGAAUAGUAAUCGUUUAU
RNAcentral lists this ribosomal RNA (452 nucleotides) under uncultured bacterium. RNAcentral describes it as "bacterial SSU rRNA". It matches the Rfam family "Bacterial small subunit ribosomal RNA", at positions 925 to 1349 of the family's 1533-position model. The record is from RNAcentral.